AUACAUGCAGUCGAGCGGACAGAUGGGAGCUUGCUCCCUGAUGUUAGCGGCGGACGGGUGAGUAACACGUGGGUAACCUGCCUGUAAGACUGGGAUAACUCCGGGAAACCGGGGCUAAUACCGGAUGGUUGUUUGAACCGCAUGGUUCAAACAUAAAAGGUGGCUUCGGCUACCACUUACAGAUGGACCCGCGGCGCAUUAGCUAGUUGGUGAGGUAACGGCUCACCAAGGCAACGAUGCGUAGCCGACCUGAGAGGGUGAUCGGCCACACUGGGACUGAGACACGGCCCAGACUCCUACGGGAGGCAGCAGUAGGGAAUCUUCCGCAAUGGACGAAAGUCUGACGGAGCAACGCCGCGUGAGUGAUGAAGGUUUUCGGAUCGUAAAGCUCUGUUGUUAGGGAAGAACAAGUACCGUUCGAAUAGGGCGGUACCUUGACGGUACCUAACCAGAAAGCCACGGCUAACUACGUGCCAGCAGCCGCGGUAAUACGUAGGUGGCAAGCGUUGUCCGGAAUUAUUGGGCGUAAAGGGCUCGCAGGCGGUUUCUUAAGUCUGAUGUGAAAGCCCCCGGCUCAACCGGGGAGGGUCAUUGGAAACUGGGGAACUUGAGUGCAGAAGAGGAGAGUGGAAUUCCACGUGUAGCGGUGAAAUGCGUAGAGAUGUGGAGGAACACCAGUGGCGAAGGCGACUCUCUGGUCUGUAACUGACGCUGAGGAGCGAAAGCGUGGGGAGCGAACAGGAUUAGAUACCCUGGUAGUCCACGCCGUAAACGAUGAGUGCUUAGUGUUAGGGG
This 795-nucleotide ribosomal RNA is filed under the name Bacillus subtilis. Its description in RNAcentral is "bacterial SSU rRNA". It matches the Rfam family "Bacterial small subunit ribosomal RNA", at positions 51 to 829 of the family's 1533-position model. The record is from RNAcentral. Lineage: Bacteria; Bacillati; Bacillota; Bacilli; Caryophanales; Bacillaceae.